Molecule: ribosomal RNA, 391 nt
Filed under: uncultured bacterium
Lineage: Bacteria
Description: partial 16S ribosomal RNA
Rfam family: Bacterial small subunit ribosomal RNA
Source: RNAcentral
AUACGUAGGUGGCAAGCGUUGUCCGGAUUUAUUGGGCGUAAAGCGCAUGUAGGCGGUGCCUUAAGUCUGUCGUGAAACUGCGGGGCCUAACCCCGUAUGGCGAUGGGAACUGUGGCACUUGAGUGUAGGAGAGGAAAGGGGAACACCCAGUGUAGCGGGGAAAUGCGUAGAUAUUGGGAAGAACACCGGUGGCGAAGGCGCCGUUCUGGACUGUGUCUGACGCUGAGAUGCUAAAGCCAGGGUAGCGAACGGGAUUAGAUACCCCGGUAGUCCUGGCCGUAAACGAUGGGUACUAGGUGUAGGGCCGAAAGGUUCUGUGCCGGAGUUAACACAGUAAGUAUUCCACCUGGGGAGUACGCCGGCAAAGGUGAAACUCAAAGGAAUUGACGGG